UAAUGACGAUGAUGGGGGUGGUGGUGGUGGUGGUGGUGGCGACGGUGUUGGAAUUAGUGUGGUAACAACAACAACAACAACAACACGGCUACAACCAACCAACUCACCAGCCAGCCAACCAGCCAACUAAGCGAGCUUUUUAAAACCAUUAGCGAAGACAAGAAACUUAAGCGAAGAACGAGAGAGCAGGCACCGGCUGUGUUUAUAUACUUCGACGGUGCUGCAUUUAUAUGUAAACAUACACUCGUAAACACUCGCCUAUAUAUAUAUACAUAUAUACAUAAAUAUAUAUACAUAAAUUUCAUAUAGGUAUUAUAUAUUAUACAC
This is a long non-coding RNA of Octopus sinensis (East Asian common octopus), 327 nucleotides long. RefSeq lists it as uncharacterized. The record is from RefSeq and is a predicted model, not a curated record. The transcript is spliced from 2 exons. NCBI's taxonomy places the organism in Eukaryota, Metazoa, Mollusca, Cephalopoda, Octopoda, Octopodidae.